GACGAACGCUGGCGGCGUGCUUAACACAUGCAAGUCGAACGGUGAACCUCUUCGGAGGGGAUCAGUGGCGAACGGGUGAGUAACACGUGGGCAACCUGCCCCCGGCUCUGGGAUAACUCCAAGAAAUUGGGGCUAAUACCGGAUGUUCACCGCUUCCCGCAUGGGUGGUGGUGGAAAGGGUUUCCGGCUGGGGAUGGGCCCGCGGCCUAUCAGCUUGUUGGUGGGGUAGUGGCCUACCAAGGCGACGACGGGUAGCCGGCCUGAGAGGGUGACCGGCCACACUGGGACUGAGACACGGCCCAGACUCCUACGGGAGGCAGCAGUGGGGAAUAUUGCGCAAUGGGCGGAAGCCUGACGCAGCGACGCCGCGUGGGGGAUGACGGCCUUCGGGUGGUAAACCUCUUUCAGCAGGGACGAAGCGCAAGUGACGGUACCUGCAGAAGAAGCACCGGCCAACUACGU
This 462-nucleotide ribosomal RNA is filed under the name uncultured bacterium. Its description in RNAcentral is "partial 16S ribosomal RNA". It matches the Rfam family "Bacterial small subunit ribosomal RNA", at positions 28 to 506 of the family's 1533-position model. The record is from RNAcentral.